GAUGAACGCUAGCGGGAGGCCUAACACAUGCAAGCCGAGCGGGAUUUGAUCGGUAGCUUGCUACCGAUUAAUGAGAGCGGCGUACGGGUGAGGAACACGUGUGCAACCUGCCUUUAUCAGGGAGAUAGCCUUUCGAAAGGAAGAUUAAUAUCCCAUAAUAUAUUAGAUGGCAUCAUUUGAUAUUGAAAGCUCCGGCGGAUAGAGAUGGGCACGCGCAAGAUUAGUUAGUUGGUGAGGUAACGGCUCACCAAGGCGACGAUUCUUUAGGGGGCCUGAGAGGGUGAUCCCCCACACUGGUACUGAGACACGGACCAGACUCCUACGGGAGGCAGCAGUGAGGAAUAUUGGACAAUGGGUGAGAGCCUGAUCCAGCCAUCCCGCGUGAAGGAUUAAGGUCCUAUGGAUUGUAAACUUCUUUUGUAUAGGGAUAAACCUGCCCUCGUGAGGGUAGCUGAAGGUACUAUACGAAUAAGCACCGGCUAACUCCGUGCCAGCAGCCGCGGUAAUACGGAGGGUGCAAGCGUUAUCCGGAUUUAUUGGGUUUAAAGGGUCCGUAGGCGGGUUUAUAAGUCAGUGGUGAAAGCCGGCAGCUCAACUGUCGAACUGCCAUUGAUACUGUAAGUCUUGAGUGUAUUUGAAGUGGCUGGAAUAAGUAGUGUAGCGGUGAAAUGCAUAGAUAUUACUUAGAACACCAAUUGCGAAGGCAGGUCACUAAGAUACAACUGACGCUGAUGGACGAAAGCGUGGGGAGCGAACAGGAUUAGAUACCCUGGUAGUCCACGCCGUAAACGAUGCUUACUCGUUUUUGGGUUUUAGGAUUCAGAGACCAAGCGAAAGUGAUAAGUAAGCCACCUGGGGAGUACGUUCGCAAGAAUGAAACUCAAAGGAAUUGACGGGGGCCCGCACAAGCGGUGGAUUAUGUGGUUUAAUUCGAUGAUACGCGAGGAACCUUACCAAGACUUAAAUGGGAAUUGACAGAUUUAGAAAUAGAUCCUCCUUCGGGCAAUUUUCAAGGUGCUGCAUGGUUGUCGUCAGCUCGUGCCGUGAGGUGUUAGGUUAAGUCCUGCAACGAGCGCAACCCCUGUCACUAGUUGCUACCAUUCAGUUGAGGACUCUAGUGAGACUGCCUACGCAAGUAGAGAGGAAGGUGGGGAUGACGUCAAAUCAUCACGGCCCUUACGUCUUGGGCCACACACGUAAUACAAUGGCAGGUACAGAGGGCAGCUACACAGCGAUGUGAUGCGAAUCUCGAAAGCCUGUCUCAGUUCGGAUUGGAGUCUGCAACUCGACUCUAUGAAGCUGGAAUCGCUAGUAAUCGCGCAUCAGCCAUGGCGCGGUGAAUACGUUCCCGGGCCU
This 1356-nucleotide ribosomal RNA is filed under the name uncultured bacterium. RNAcentral describes it as "bacterial SSU rRNA". It matches the Rfam family "Bacterial small subunit ribosomal RNA", at positions 28 to 1381 of the family's 1533-position model. The record is from RNAcentral.